RNAcentral lists this long non-coding RNA (241 nucleotides) under Rhinopithecus bieti (black snub-nosed monkey). RNAcentral's name for it is "lncRNA (ENSRBIG00000046022.1)". The record is from RNAcentral. Lineage: Eukaryota; Metazoa; Chordata; Mammalia; Primates; Cercopithecidae.
AUGAUUGUGAUGUUUAUCUCCUUCUUCUCUGCAGCCAAGCCCAGCAAAAGAAUGGCACAGAGCAGUUGCUGCCCAAGCCUGGGUGCUCCUGGUGUUCCUGUGCAGACUGGCUGUGCAGUAUGGUUGUCGUGGGGAGAACCCUCCUUGGCCUCUCCUGGUGCAGGCUCCACGCUGUCGAAAUGGUAACAUACUAAAGGUACUCACUCUUCUGUACCUUCACAGUACAAGUACCCAAUACCCC